CACUUUAACUAUAGAUAUAAAACAGAGCUUCAAAUUCACCCUGUACAGCGCAAAUACGAACCAUAACACACAGCAAUAAUUUUAUUUCUUUAUUAGCGAUAUAAAAACACAAAACAAACAUACAGCUCUGGCAAAAAUGAAGAGAGCACUUCAGUUUCUGAAUCAGUUUCUCUGAUUUUGCUAUUUAUAGGUUUAUGUUUGAGUAAAAUGAACAUUGUUGUUUUAUUCUAUAAACUACAGACAACAUUUCUCCCAAAUUCCAAAUAAAAAUAUUCUCAUUUAGAGCAUUUAUUUGCGGAAAAUGAGGAAUGGCUGAAAUAACAAAAAAGAUGCAGAACUUUCAGACCUCAAAUAAUGCAAAAAAAAAAAAAAAAAAAAAAAGUU
Molecule: long non-coding RNA, 384 nt
Organism: Astyanax mexicanus (Mexican tetra)
Lineage: Eukaryota; Metazoa; Chordata; Actinopteri; Characiformes; Acestrorhamphidae
Exons: 2
Source: RefSeq, a predicted model, not a curated record